Molecule: ribosomal RNA, 253 nt
Filed under: uncultured bacterium
Lineage: Bacteria
Description: partial 16S ribosomal RNA
Rfam family: Bacterial small subunit ribosomal RNA
Source: RNAcentral
GACGAACCGUGCGAACGUUGUUCGGAAUCACUGGGCUUAAAGGGCGCGUAGGCGGGCUGUCGCGUCUGGGGUGAAAUCCUCCGGCUCAACCGGGGAAGGGCCUCGGGUACGGACGGCCUCGAGGGGGGUAGGGGCGUGCGGAACUGUGGGUGGAGCGGUGAAAUGCGUUGAUAUCCACAGGAACUCCGGUGGCGAAGGCGGCACGCUGGACCCCUUCUGACGCUGAGGCGCGAAAGCCAGGGGAGCGAACGGG